GGGUUGUGAGGUUAAGCGACUAAGCGUACACGGUGGAUGCCCUGGCAGUCAGAGGCGAUGAAGGGCGUGCUAAUCUGCGAUAAGCGCCGGUAAGGUGAUAUGAACCGUUAUAACCGGCGAUACCCGAAUGGGGAAACCCAGUGUGACUCGUCACACUAUCAUUAACUGAAUCCAUAGGUUAAUGAGGCGAACCGGGGGAACUGAAACAUCUAAGUACCCCGAGGAAAAGAAAUCAACCGAGAUUCCCCCAGUAGCGGCGAGCGAACGGGGAGGAGCCCAGAGCCUGAAUCAGCAUGUGUGUUAGUGGAAGCGUCUGGAAAGGCGCGCGAUACAGGGUGACAGCCCCGUACACAAAAGCGCAUGUGCUGUGAGCUCGAUGAGUAGGGCGGGACACGUGGUAUCCUGUCUGAAUAUGGGGGGACCAUCCUCCAAGGCUAAAUACUCCUGACUGACCGAUAGUGAACCAGUACCGUGAGGGAAAGGCGAAAAGAACCCCGGCGAGGGGAGUGAAAAAGAACCUGAAACCGUGUACGUACAAGCAGUGGGAGCACAGGUUUACCUGUGUGACUGCGUACCUUUUGUAUAAUGGGUCAGCGACUUAUAUUCUGUAGCAAGGUUAACCGAAUAGGGGAGCCGUAGGGAAACCGAGUCUUAACCGGGCGUUAAGUUGCAGGGUAUAGACCCGAAACCCGGUGAUCUAGCCAUGGGCAGGUUGAAGGUUGGGUAACACUAACUGGAGGACCGAACCGACUAAUGUUGAAAAAUUAGCGGAUGACCUGUGGCUGGGGGUGAAAGGCCAAUCAAACCGGGAGAUAGCUGGUUCUCCCCGAAAGCUAUUUAGGUAGCGCCUCGUGAACUCAUCUCCGGGGGUAGAGCACUGUUUCGGCUAGGGGGCCAUCCCGGCUUACCAACCCGAUGCAAACUGCGAAUACCGGAGAAUGUUAUCACGGGAGACACACGGCGGGUGCUAACGUCCGUCGUGAAGAGGGAAACAACCCAGACCGCCAGCUAAGGUCCCAAAGUCAUGGUUAAGUGGGAAACGAUGUGGGAAGGCCCAGACAGCCAGGAUGUUGGCUUAGAAGCAGCCAUCAUUUAAAGAAAGCGUAAUAGCUCACUGGUCGAGUCGGCCUGCGCGGAAGAUGUAACGGGGCUAAACCAUGCACCGAAGCUGCGGCAGCGACACUGUGUGUUGUUGGGUAGGGGAGCGUUCUGUAAGCCUGUGAAGGUGUGUCGUGAGGCAUGCUGGAGGUAUCAGAAGUGCGAAUGCUGACAUAAGUAACGAUAAAGCGGGUGAAAAGCCCGCUCGCCGGAAGACCAAGGGUUCCUGUCCAACGUUAAUCGGGGCAGGGUGAGUCGACCCCUAAGGCGAGGCCGAAAGGCGUAGUCGAUGGGAAACAGGUUAAUAUUCCUGUACUUGGUGUUACUGCGAAGGGGGGACGGAGAAGGCUAUGUUGGCCGGGCGACGGUUGUCCCGGUUUAAGCGUGUAGGUGUGUGUUCCAGGUAAAUCCGGUUCACUUUAACACUGAGGCGUGAUGACGAGGCACUACGGUGCUGAAGCAACAAAUGCCCUGCUUCCAGGAAAAGCCUCUAAGCAUCAGGUAACAUCAAAUCGUACCCCAAACCGACACAGGUGGUCAGGUAGAGAAUACCAAGGCGCUUGAGAGAACUCGGGUGAAGGAACUAGGCAAAAUGGUGCCGUAACUUCGGGAGAAGGCACGCUGACAUGUAGGUGAAGUGAUUUACUCAUGGAGCUGAAGUCAGUCGAAGAUACCAGCUGGCUGCAACUGUUUAUUAAAAACACAGCACUGUGCAAACACGAAAGUGGACGUAUACGGUGUGACGCCUGCCCGGUGCCGGAAGGUUAAUUGAUGGGGUCAGCGCAAGCGAAGCUCCUGAUCGAAGCCCCGGUAAACGGCGGCCGUAACUAUAACGGUCCUAAGGUAGCGAAAUUCCUUGUCGGGUAAGUUCCGACCUGCACGAAUGGCGUAAUGAUGGCCAGGCUGUCUCCACCCGAGACUCAGUGAAAUUGAACUCGCUGUGAAGAUGCAGUGUACCCGCGGCAAGACGGAAAGACCCCGUGAACCUUUACUAUAGCUUGACACUGAACAUUGAGCCUUGAUGUGUAGGAUAGGUGGGAGGCUUUGAAGCGUGGACGCCAGUCUGCGUGGAGCCGACCUUGAAAUACCACCCUUUAAUGUUUGAUGUUCUAACGUGGACCCGUAAUCCGGGUUGCGGACAGUGUCUGGUGGGUAGUUUGACUGGGGCGGUCUCCUCCUAAAGAGUAACGGAGGAGCACGAAGGUUGGCUAAUCCUGGUCGGACAUCAGGAGGUUAGUGCAAUGGCAUAAGCCAGCUUGACUGCGAGCGUGACGGCGCGAGCAGGUGCGAAAGCAGGUCAUAGUGAUCCGGUGGUUCUGAAUGGAAGGGCCAUCGCUCAACGGAUAAAAGGUACUCCGGGGAUAACAGGCUGAUACCGCCCAAGAGUUCAUAUCGACGGCGGUGUUUGGCACCUCGAUGUCGGCUCAUCACAUCCUGGGGCUGAAGUAGGUCCCAAGGGUAUGGCUGUUCGCCAUUUAAAGUGGUACGCGAGCUGGGUUUAGAACGUCGUGAGACAGUUCGGUCCCUAUCUGCCGUGGGCGCUGGAGAACUGAGGGGGGCUGCUCCUAGUACGAGAGGACCGGAGUGGACGCAUCACUGGUGUUCGGGUUGUCAUGCCAAUGGCACUGCCCGGUAGCUAAAUGCGGAAGAGAUAAGUGCUGAAAGCAUCUAAGCACGAAACUUGCCCCGAGAUGAGUUCUCCCUGAGACUUAGAGUCUCCUGAAGGAACGUUGAAGACGACGACGUUGAUAGGCCGGGUGUGUAAGCGCAGCGAUGCGUUGAGCUAACCGGUACUAAUGAACCGUGAGGCUUAACCUUACAACGCCGAAG
RNAcentral lists this ribosomal RNA (2928 nucleotides) under Salmonella enterica. RNAcentral's name for it is "bacterial LSU rRNA". It matches the Rfam family "Bacterial large subunit ribosomal RNA". The record is from RNAcentral. Lineage: Bacteria; Pseudomonadati; Pseudomonadota; Gammaproteobacteria; Enterobacterales; Enterobacteriaceae.